Molecule: long non-coding RNA, 2695 nt
Organism: Acanthochromis polyacanthus (spiny chromis)
Lineage: Eukaryota; Metazoa; Chordata; Actinopteri; Pomacentridae
Exons: 2
Source: RefSeq, a predicted model, not a curated record
UCAGACACGAAAACUAGUAAUUGUCUCAGCCCACUCAGGUCCUUCCCUCCCCAACCAAAAUUAAUUAGCCAUUCGCAGUUUCACUGUACCGGCCGUGUGUACUUACACUUGCAUGGCUUAAUCUUUGAGACAAGCAUAUGCUACUGGCAGGAUCAACCAGGUAGCCCAGACGGGACUAACCACUACAACCCCCAAAGAUCCUGAACACACUCUAAAAAAACAAAAAAAAACCCCAUUGACCUUAUACUUGAUUCCGUGACCUAAAAUGGAAAAAGGGCAGCAGUAGGUCAAACAUCAACCCACCCCACUCUCAUUGUUGUAAAUAAGAAAUGGAAUUAUUCUUUUCUCCCACUACUUUUUAAUACUAUGUGAUCCGACAUAUUCUGGGAUCUAAAACAAGUACCAGCCAAGUUGUGUGCUAUUAAGUAAAAUAGAACAAAUAGACAAGAGUUAACGGCUGUACUUGAAUUACUACAGGCAUAAUAAUAUCAGAUAACACUGGAAACAGAUUGCCAUAUUGCAAAUAUAAGUUGUUUGUCCACCGAUAACCAGAAUGAAAAACAAUGAAAUGUGCUUUACCUUAUUCACAAUAACUUCACGAUCCAAACCUCAUUCAAAAGCUUACUGUCUGAUACAAAAAGGCCAGAGAUAAUAAACUUCCGUCCUGACCGUAGCUUCAAUAUGGGAUCACUGGCUUGAAUCAGAGUCUGAAGAGUUCAAUUCGAAAUACAAGCGAGAUUACUCCGCUGUGAUGUCGGGGACGGAGGAAUCCCCUCCUCCUUUUCCGGCAGGGAGCGGAGAGAAUCCUCUGCGUCUGCGGGGUGGUUGAAAAUCAGGUAGUCAGUCCCGUUCUUGAUUUUCAACAUGUCUGGAUACAGCAGAAAAAACUCAAUUCCCCUGUUCUGCGCUGUGUCCAUUGCCUAUGCAAAACCUUCAUGGCGCUUGACUGUGUGGUUGCUGUAGUCCGCUGCAAAUCUCACCCUCUUGCCAUCCGGUAACUGGGUCCUUCUUCGCAGCUCGGAGAAUAGCCUGGCGAGUCGUGUAAUGAAGAGUGUUGAAAAUAAGGGAGCGGGCUCUGUCCCUGGCGACACGUCCCAUGUAGAUGUGGUGAGCCCGCAUUAUCUCAAUCGGCUCGGACCAAAGGGACAGAAACCACUUAGAAAGUGAUUGUGUCAAAUACUGCACUGCAUUUGAGCCCUCAGAUCCCUCUUUUAGGCCGAUAACAUGGAUGUUGCACCGCCUGCUCCUGUCCUCCAUGUCCGCUAGCUUAAGUUCAAGAGAUUUUAUAGUUGCGCUCAGCAACCACCUUUGAGUUGUCAUCCACAGCACUCUGAAGUGUAGAAAAGUCAGCCUUAAGCAAAGUCAUACCACCUGAAAGUGACACUCAAUCUGCUUUGGUUGCAUCCAACUUGCUAUCCGUGCUUUUGCCCAUCUCGUGCAGCUGAGCAAACCGAGGUUCAAAAAAUUGACGUUGUUUCUCCAUCAGGGAAUUGGUAAUGGCGUCGAGCUCAUUAGUGGAGUGGAGGUACCACUCGAGGAAUUUUUUUUCACAGAAUCAGCCAUUUCGUUCCUGACAGUUGAAAAAAUGUCGAGGCAAAAGAGUAAGCCAAGUUCAGUGGGAGAAAAAUCUCAAGAUUUCCCAAUUUUGACAGGGCGAGAGCGAGACCCCUAAGGGCGGCAAAGUUUUCUGAGCUUAAUGUUAGUGGCACUGGAUGCAAAGCAGUGGGAUGACUUUCACUGCCACAUUCUUUACAUUGCACUGUCUUAACACAGUCUUUGGCCAUAUGAUGGAUGGAAGAACAGCAUCUAAUACAUAUGUGUUUGUCUUUCAGAAGAGCUUUUCUUUCCUGUAAAGUUUUACUCCUGAACAAGUGACAUUUUCUCAAGGAGUGUGGCUUACCAUGUCAUGACUGGAUUUGUUGUACAGGUGGCAUCCUAUCACAGUUCCACGCUGGAAUUUACAUCGCUCCUGAGAGCGAUUCAUUCUUUCACAAAUUCACAAAUGUUUGUAAAAGCAGUGCAUGCCUAGGUGCUUGAUUUUGUACACCUGUGGCCAUGGAAGUGAUUGGAACAUCUGAUUCUGAUUAUUUGCAUGGGUGAGCGAAUACUUUUGGAAAUAUAGUGUAUAGCUGAAUGAUGUUUAUUUUGUCGUUUAUUAUAAUAGGAUAAUAUUGCUUUUUAUACCAACAAAUCAGUAAAGAAAGGAUGGUUUUACCUUGCUGACAUGUUUAAACUGCAUCUGCAGUCUUCCUCAGAGUGUCAUCUGAUGUGUUCUGACAUGUCCUUUUUAUCAGGUGAACGGUCUAACAGACAUUCUGUCAGACCGGCCACGCCCCCUGCCGUCCGGUGGUCUCUGGAGGAUGGAGUCCCAGCUGCCGGACACGUCAGCAGAUGACACUCUGAAGAAGACUGCAGAUGCAGCUGAAACAUGUAAGCAAGGUAAAACAAUCCUUUCUUUACCGAUUUGUCGGCAUAAAAAGCAACGUUAUCCAAUAUAGUGCUUUUGAGAAUGGCCCCGACACCAUUCAGACCACAAUUCAGAAUACUGGCAGGGCAAGCAGCAGCUCAAUUCUCCCAUUAAGCAACAGGGAAUGUAAGAGGACUGAUAUGAGACAGAAAAAAAUGUAAAAAGGUUCAAUUGUUUACAUUUUUGAGAUUUGGGUUGAGCUUAUUAAAGAUAUAUAUAUACACGUUG